Non-coding RNA from Onthophagus taurus, 3041 nucleotides. Lineage: Eukaryota; Metazoa; Arthropoda; Insecta; Coleoptera; Scarabaeidae. The record is from RefSeq and is a predicted model, not a curated record.
AAACAUAAAAUUUGCUACUUGUGUCGUUCAAAGAAACAUAGAAUGACAAAAUACUUGUGUCUUGCUUGCAAAAAGCCGGUUUGUCUACAAUGUACAAAACCAGUCUGCAAUGACUGCGCUGAAAAAUAAAAAACUUUGGCCCUUGCUGGAAUAUGAUAUUUUUGUCAAAUUUAUUUAUCCUUUAUUUUUUAGUUUGUCUAAUACCUAACAUAACUAAUAAUAUAAACGAAAGUUUGUUAAGGUUUUAUAAUAAUUAAGUACUUACUAUAAAACUAGAUUUAAUUAACUUUUCGGAAAAAAUUAUAAUUUAGGUAAACUCUUUUUAUAUAUUGCUUUAGUUCAGUUUAUUUCUAUGCAAACAAGUUUCCUAAUAUCUAUAGUAUCCAGUAAUGAACAAAAUAUUGAGUUUAUUUGCACAUUUGCAGUCUUAUUGACCUAUUAAGUUAAGUAGUCCUGGAGACUACGCCUGACUGUUAGUGCGACAAAUGAGUCACCGGACUAGUUAAGGGUUAAUGAUAGAAAAUAUUUGGUUGCAAAUAGGAAGUCGAAUGAAAUGUACAGGUAAAUAAUGUAAAUACAUAUUCACAAUUUAACGAUUACUAUUAAGAUUAUAAUUACUAUUUUUUUAUUUGUAGCUAAACAGUGUGAACUGCGGUAGAAUAAUUUAAGGCAACAUUAUGGAAAAUAUUCAAGGUAGUUACCAUCCGGAUCUGCAGCCACACCAAAAUGGGUACAUUACAAAAGUCUGUCAUUCUUAUCUACAGUAAUAAAACGAAGAUCCAGAAAGCCAAUCCAAUAUAAACCGACAGCGAUAUCCACUACCAAUUCUGAAAUAGAUGUUUCUUUUGGCAAUGAUUUGGUUGAUAUUGCAGCAACAACAUCAUCUUUCACUUCUUGUAUACAAAGUUUACCCUCCACAUCAACAGUUUCUUUGUCAUCAUUGUCUCCCUUGUCAACAAUAUCUUGUGAAGUUGAACCACUAUUUCCACCACCUGAUGAAGUAUCAUUUCCACCACCAGAUGAACCAUCAUGUCAACCUUCACAAAAUUGUGCAAAUCCGCCACCUCAAUUAACAUCAGAACCCGCAUCCGAAGUGCUUUGGACUCCUCCACCAAAAAGGAAAAGGAAAAAAGACGCAAUAGAAAACCUUGCCGACACCGUAGAGGUAUUGGUUGAUCUCUCUUCUCUGGCGUUGUCGAGUUGUAUUCUCCUAUGGAUCCAACAACACACAAGAAAAGAACAACAACAAUAAUACAGGUUCGAACAAUAAAAAAACAUCAACCGAAUCAGUAAAAAAUAACGAAAUUGAAUUUCUUUCAAUCAAAAAGUUUGAUAUCGAUAAUCCUAAAAUAAACAUUAAUUGCUCAGUGAAUACUAAUAAUAUAACUUUCGCACCUAGAUAUACAAACCUAAGUACUGUCGAAUUGUCUGAGGAUGAUGUUGAUAUUCUCAAUCUAGGACAUAAAUUCUCUUUACCAGAAAAAAUAAAACCUGUCUAUCUGGCUAUAAAAUUAGAAAGCCAACUAAUGUUUAAUAACAACAUAAAACAAAUCUUUAAGGAGAAUGGGAACUUGAUUGAGAGUGUCAACAAUCAUAAGAACCUAGGUAGAUAUAAUAGAAGUAAUGUAAACCACUCCGCUCAAACAAACAAUAAUGAAUUUAAAACUAAGUUUAGAGCCCUUAAAAAUAAAAUCAAAGAUAGUAACCUUAUUCUCACCUUAGGAGUUCAACAUAUGCCCCGCCUUUAUCUCCAAUAAUUGUAAGCCAGUUCUUCAACUCAUGAACAAUAAAUCAAAGAUAAAUCAAAACGAACAGAGUGGUGUCUAUAAAAUAGAAUGCACGGGAUGUGAUGGGAUCUAUGUGGGACAAACAGGCCGUAAUAUUAAGAUACGAUAUAAGGAACAUAUGACCAAAAAAACUUCCGCAGUUUACAAGCACGUCAAGCAAAGCAAACAUGAAAUCCCAUUUGAAAACAUUAAACUACUAAAAAAUGUCAAAAAAUCUAACGAAAUGAACCUAUUAGAAGAAUUUUACAUUCACAAAUUUAAAGACAAAAAUCUACUCAAUGACACUUCAGACCUCAACCCAUAUAGAAAUUUCCUUCAAUUCAUAUAAUUUGAGUAAUAACCUAAUCAUCAACAGCUAAUUUUUUAAAAAAAGAUUCUCUCUCCCUUUUUUGUUCCCUGACCUAAUAUUCCCUCAUCUUCAAGGAAAACUUUUUCAAAUAAAAGCCAAUUUUCAAUUUCAAACAAUUGUCAUCUCCCUGCCUAUGCAAUGCGCAUGCCCCAAGUGGACCAUAAUACAUUUCUGCAUUCUACAUCAAGCCCUCAGUCCAACCUCAAUCACGCAAUGAACCACCUGUUGUGACUUAAAUUUUGGAUUUGUUUAAUUGAUUACGAAGAUCACAGAUUUUUCUUUCCCAAUAACGUAAGUUCACAUAAUAAAUUCUACCCCUUCUUCUUUUAAUCGAUGAAAUAUCUUGUUCUUUCAGACGAUUCACCUCCUCUUUUGUAUUAAAUAAAUUUUAACACGUGAUCUAAAUUUAACGAUGAAAGUAAGACGCCAUUUUCCUCUCAAUUUUCUGUACUGAUUCGAUGUCUUAUUUCAGAAUUUUUAACAAUCCCCUUUACAUUCCCUAACAAUUUAUUUCUUUUAUGAACCCUAUAAACAUACAAUUAACUAUUGAAACCUAAAUAAACCCGCAUAUUUAUAUAAAAAAAUCCCUUUAAACCGUAAUUACUCCAAAUAAUUGACUUGAGUUGGAUAAGGAAAAAUAUUUUUGGUCUACUUCCCCUACUGGUACAAUGUUUUUAAGGAAAUCCAUCAAAAUAGAACAUCUGUACAUUUCAACAGAUUGACGGUAAAAUUAAAAAAGAAUUUUUAUUAUAAUUAUGUUUUAUAUACUUACCUCUCGCGGAACGAUUUAUUAUAUAAUGCAAUGUAUUUAUGUGUUUCUCAGUCGUGCCUGAAGAAGAUUGUUAAAUCGAAACAUGUCGCACUGAAACAAAUCUAAAUAAAGAAUUUUCAUCGUUUCUAUGAGA